This 354-nucleotide transfer-messenger RNA is filed under the name Candidatus Nealsonbacteria bacterium CG08_land_8_20_14_0_20_36_22. It matches the Rfam family "transfer-messenger RNA". Rfam says of the family: Bacterial tmRNA, also known as 10Sa RNA or SsrA, is named for its dual tRNA and mRNA-like properties. Its role is to liberate the mRNA from a stalled ribosome. To accomplish this part of the tmRNA is used as a reading frame that ends in a translation stop signal. The record is from RNAcentral. Lineage: Bacteria; Candidatus Nealsoniibacteriota. RNAcentral also lists the same sequence under 2 other names.
GGGGAUGAAAAGUUUUGAUAGAGGUCUUCGUCAAAAUAAAGCAGGCCGAGAUCUCCGACUCUCGAAAAUAAUCGGAAAAGAAAAAUAAGUGCCAACUUAUUUAACAAACAACCUGUUUUAGCAUACGCUUAAAGCAGCAUCGGAAAUAACGAUUCUCGAUAGUUAAAUUCCGGUGUCAUAAUAUCGAGAUAGAUAAUUCUUCUCGCCCAAAAAGAAUUAUUAAAAAUAAUUGGGAUUAGAAAAUUAAAAUUUUGUUUGUUUUUUAUCUAAUUUUCGAAAUACAAAACAAAAUAAGCCUGUAGUAUUAUUUUGGCGAAACUUCUAGACGGGGCUUCAACGCCCCCAUCUCCACCA